GCUCUACCACUUACUUGCUGCAUAGCCUGGGCUAGUUUCUGCUCUGCCACUAACUUGCUGCAUGACCCUGCAUCCAGCUCAGCAUCCAUCUCACAGUAGGCACACAGUGAAUGUUGAUUUGAACAAGUGAACGGAUUGAAAGAAAUAUUUACUGAAAUUGCUUCUUAACAAUCUAGCCAACAAGUACAGCAUCCUGGAUGGAGGCAUCAGAGAUCACAUCUCUGGCUUUGUGCUGCAGACCCACAUGGAGAAUCCCACAUGGUGUAACCAAAAUCCUCAAGGCCAGAUAAGACUUGGCACUGGAAGCUUUGAAAUGCAAUGCCUAGCUCUGAAGAGGAUGUAUAACAAAUGAUUUACUAUGCAUUGAUCCAACUAAUGGAAAAUAAAAAACAACUUUUAAAAUA
This is a long non-coding RNA of Myotis brandtii (Brandt's bat), 404 nucleotides long. RefSeq lists it as uncharacterized. Lineage: Eukaryota; Metazoa; Chordata; Mammalia; Chiroptera; Vespertilionidae. The transcript is spliced from 5 exons. The record is from RefSeq and is a predicted model, not a curated record.